GGGAGUGACUUGGCUUCGACAGGAGUAGUUGGAACUUGGUUGCAUGUCGUUCUGAACAAAACGUUAAACUGUCCGUUUAAACUUAAACGCAAACAAUACAGAUUACGCUCCAGCUUACGCUAAAGCUGCGUAAGUUUAACUAACUUUGGAGGUCUUGUGUUGUGGAUGCCAUUUUUCACAACUUUUCAAGGCUAAUAACAAAACAAAUGGCUGUGGGAUUUAGGCUGACCGAUUAGAUCUCAAGAUAAGGUCUUAGUCUAGUGAAGUUUCGGAGUGUGUGCAAAACUAGAUGAAAUCAAUCACACUUACUAAACAUGUAGAUGCCAUUUUUUGGUUAUUUUUGGACAGGGGUUCAAUUCCCCUCACUUCCACCA
This 374-nucleotide transfer-messenger RNA is filed under the name Campylobacterales. RNAcentral describes it as "GCA-2746565 sp002746565 Standard tmRNA". It matches the Rfam family "transfer-messenger RNA". Rfam says of the family: Bacterial tmRNA, also known as 10Sa RNA or SsrA, is named for its dual tRNA and mRNA-like properties. Its role is to liberate the mRNA from a stalled ribosome. RNAcentral also lists the same sequence under 1 other name. The record is from RNAcentral. Lineage: Bacteria; Pseudomonadati; Campylobacterota; Epsilonproteobacteria.